RNAcentral lists this ribosomal RNA (469 nucleotides) under uncultured bacterium. RNAcentral describes it as "partial 16S ribosomal RNA". It matches the Rfam family "Bacterial small subunit ribosomal RNA", at positions 28 to 507 of the family's 1533-position model. The record is from RNAcentral.
GACGAACGCUGGCGGCGUGCUUAACACAUGCAAGUCGAACGGUGAAGCGAGUGCUUGCACUCGUGGAUCAGUGGCGAACGGGUGAGUAACACGUGAGUAACCUGCCCAUCACUCUGGGAUAAGCACUGGAAACGGUGUCUAAUACUGGAUACGACCAACCCUUGCAUGGGGUGUUGGUGGAAAGAUUUAUCGGUGAUGGAUGGACUCGCGGCCUAUCAGCUUGUUGGCGGGGUAAUGGCCCACCAAGGCGACGACGGGUAGCCGGCCUGAGAGGGUGACCGGCCACAAUGGGACUGAGACACGCACCAGACUCCUACGGGAGGCAGCAGUGGGGAAUAUUGCACAAUGGGCGAAAGCCUGAUGCAGCGACGCCGCGUGAGGGAUGACGGCCUUCGGGUUGUAAACCUCUUUCAGCAGGGAAGAAGCGAAAGUGACGGUACCUGCAGAAGAAGCACCGGCUAACUACGUG